AAUGAAUAAUAUCUAAUGAAUAUAAAUUUUAAAUAAUAAUUUUGACAAAAUUAUUAAGCAUAUAAUAAUUUUUCUAUUAGACAAGUGAAAAAUUAUAUCAACAUAACUUCUACCAAAUACUUUAGUGAUGUACCUUUUAAGAUACAGCUACCCAACUUCAAUCUAAAACGCACAAGAUUUCUAUCUCAUUUUAAUUUUUUUUUAACAACGAAAAGACAGAAAUAAGCAUCAGCCAUGUUUUUAGAAAGAAAAAUGUUAUUUUAACCAAAAAAAUAAUUUAAAAAUUUUUAAAAUAAUAUGAAAAGACUAAUUUGUCUUGAUGGAAAAGAUUAGUUAUACCUACUCCGAUAUUUUUAUCGAAAUGUUAUCUCAUGCAAUUUUAAGGCAUAAUAUACAUACACAUUGGAUAAUGCUAGAGAAGAAUCAUUCUAAUGAGCUGCACUGCAUAUGUGGAACAUUUCAGCUCACAUUUUUUAUUAUGUCAUUCCACUUUCUAGCAUAUCCUCUUCAAUUCUUCUUUUGGUCGGAAAGUGCAUAUUCGUUAAAUUACAGUUUCAAAUAAUAAUAAUUAAAACAUUAUCACAUUUAAGCGGUCGAUAAAAUUUGGCCGACCACAUAUUGAUAGAUACCACAAAAAUAUAAUAACAAUAAAGCAAAGCAUAAUUAUGUUUUCUCUGAUUUAAAAAGAUAAAUUGCAAAUCAUCAUCAUAUUCCAACAAGCAUUAAUAGUUGUUUGCUAACGUCGUGGCCUAUUAUAUUCCUUCUUGCUCUCUUGCAUGAUAAGUUUUUCGGCUCCAUUUACGCUAAACCCAAACGCCAUCCAAAUUAUUCGAGUUCAAUAACCAUGUUAACAUUCACAUACUCUUUAAAUAUGCAAACAUAACGUUUUUUUUCUUUAAUUUAUUUUCUCAAAGCACAUCUACUUAAAUAAAUAAAAAUUGCAUUUUUUUUUAAUAAACUCGCAUUUGCAUUGAUA
RNAcentral lists this long non-coding RNA (976 nucleotides) under Citrus x clementina. RNAcentral's name for it is "Citrus clementina (C. clementina) long non-coding RNA (CCLE_LNC001024)". Lineage: Eukaryota; Viridiplantae; Streptophyta; Magnoliopsida; Sapindales; Rutaceae. The record is from RNAcentral.